This 576-nucleotide ribosomal RNA is filed under the name Enterobacter roggenkampii. Its description in RNAcentral is "partial 23S ribosomal RNA". It matches the Rfam family "Bacterial large subunit ribosomal RNA", at positions 614 to 1191 of the family's 2925-position model. The record is from RNAcentral. Lineage: Bacteria; Pseudomonadati; Pseudomonadota; Gammaproteobacteria; Enterobacterales; Enterobacteriaceae.
AAUGGGUCAGCGACUUAUAUUCUGUAGCAAGGUUAACCGUAUAGGGGAGCCGAAGGGAAACCGAGUCUUAACUGGGCGUUAAGUUGCAGGGUAUAGACCCGAAACCCGGUGAUCUAGCCAUGGGCAGGUUGAAGGUUGGGUAACACUAACUGGAGGACCGAACCGACUAAUGUUGAAAAAUUAGCGGAUGACUUGUGGCUGGGGGUGAAAGGCCAAUCAAACCGGGAGAUAGCUGGUUCUCCCCGAAAGCUAUUUAGGUAGCGCCUCGUGAACUCAUCUUCGGGGGUAGAGCACUGUUUCGGCUAGGGGGCCAUCCCGGCUUACCAACCCGAUGCAAACUACGAAUACCGAAGAAUGUUAUCACGGGAGACACACGGCGGGUGCUAACGUCCGUCGUGAAGAGGGAAACAACCCAGACCGCCAGCUAAGGUCCCAAAGUCAUGGUUAAGUGGGAAACGAUGUGGGAAGGCACAGACAGCCAGGAUGUUGGCUUAGAAGCAGCCAUCAUUUAAAGAAAGCGUAAUAGCUCACUGGUCGAGUCGGCCUGCGCGGAAGAUGUAACGGGGCUAAACCAUG